Ceratotherium simum simum (southern white rhinoceros) is the source of this 70-nucleotide non-coding RNA. Lineage: Eukaryota; Metazoa; Chordata; Mammalia; Perissodactyla; Rhinocerotidae. The record is from RefSeq and is a predicted model, not a curated record.
AAUAUCCUAUUGGUUAUACAGGUCAUCCCUAUUCAUGGUGGGAGGGGACUAUGCCAGGGAAUGAAAAGGA